CAUUCUUUUAAUGCAACAAGCGUGCUAGGUGCUGUUUCUGUAUAGGAAGUAAUAAUAGAUACUCGCCUAUAUGCGAUUCAUGCAAAAGAAAUGUUUGUAAUGCCCACUCAACAAAAAUCCAAAAAAUUAUAUGUAAGGAAUGCAAUACUUCGCAAUACAUAUAAUUUUUUUAUAAUUUACCAAUCUAUUAUUUUUUUGUAUACAUACAGCGAAAAUCCGAGCAUAACUCGAAAUCUA
This is a long non-coding RNA of Frieseomelitta varia, 237 nucleotides long. RefSeq lists it as uncharacterized. The record is from RefSeq and is a predicted model, not a curated record. The transcript has 3 exons. Lineage: Eukaryota; Metazoa; Arthropoda; Insecta; Hymenoptera; Apidae.